This is a long non-coding RNA of Xenia sp. Carnegie-2017, 374 nucleotides long. RefSeq lists it as uncharacterized. The transcript has 3 exons. The record is from RefSeq and is a predicted model, not a curated record. Lineage: Eukaryota; Metazoa; Cnidaria; Anthozoa; Malacalcyonacea; Xeniidae.
GUUAUCGACAACAAUGUCUGCUAAUAAUUGGUCUGUUUAGCCGACUCAUUACGUUUUGAAAAUGGAUAUAUACAUUUUGCACAUUGAAUCAAUCAAUGGAUCAUGUGACGUUCUGGCUGGCGUUUAUUGUCCACAAUCUACGUGUCACGCGAAUGAGUCGUGGUCGUGAGUCAUUAAUGAAAUCAAAUGAGAGGCAUAGGAAGUUGAACAGAAAGAAAGAAAGACACUGAGAAAUGAAUAAUAUAAAGAAAAAAACGGAUAAAACAAUUCUAAUGUGAUUUUUGUCGAUAUUAUAGCAUUUGAUGUAGUUUUAUGAAGAUACUGAAAUAUUGAAAAAUUUUAUUUGAUAUUAUAUAAUUAAAUAAAUUAAACUU